ACAAGUUACAACCAACCCAAAUUCGGGAAAUAGCGAAAUCCAAUUGUUCAAACUACAAACUACCCCAACCAGAUCACGCAAAUGCCGCUCGCAAAGUAGGGAACAUUAAGACUGCAUCCAGCAAUGGCAAUUUUUUUCUCUCUCUAUCUUUCUCGCUCUCGCUCUCGCUCUCUCACCAUCUCAGAAAGACUCGAAAAACGAAGUCUAAUCUUUUCGUUAUUGAGGGUUUUUUUUUUACUGGAAUAGAGAUGUCGUUCAAUCUUGUUUUGAAGCCAUCAUGCAGAGGCUGUGGGUCAAGCAUUGAUCUUUACGGGAGUAUUUGUACGCAUAUGACUCUCUGCUUGUCCUGUGGAAAAACCAUGGCGGAAAACCAUGGAAAAUGUGACGACUGUGGCGUUACAAUCACACAAUUUAUUCGGGAGUAUAAUGUCCGAUCUAGUUCUACCAGCGAUAGAACUUACUUCAUUGGAAAAUUUGUUACAGGGGUUCCCAAUUUUUCAAAGAAGAAAAAUGCUGUUAAUAAAUGGUCUCUCCAAAAAGAAGGGCUGCAAGGGUGCCAAGUUACAAAUGCUUUGCGGGAUGAAGAGGAUGAGGAUGAAGCUAUUGAAGAGGAGGGAGGCCUGAGAAAAUCUGUAAAGGACCUACAGAAGCUGUUUGGACGAGCCACUGGGCUGCUGGAUGAUUCAGAUGGUAAAGAUGAUGACUAUAUGGACGUUGAGAUGGGUCUUUCCCCUGUAGUGGCUCGAAAACAGGAGGAUGCACCAAAGGAGGAGCCGGCUGAUAUCAGCCCCUCAGAAGCAGGACCAUCAGGAUCUGUACGAGGAAUCCCUUCUUCAUCAAAGUCAAGUAAGAUAAAAAGGAAAUCAGGUGGGGAUGAUGCAGAGGUUGUGACUGGACCACCUGCUGUGAAAGUGAGAUUUGAUAAUGAGUCAAAACCAUCUGCAAAGGAUGAGCGAUUGUCCACUCCCAAGAGUAGUGCAUCUCCAAAAAUUUCAGCUUCAUCUGCCAAAGCUGGACCAACACUAGCGACUGGCCCUGUUACUGAGGAAUAAGUGAGGGAUGUAUUGCUGGAAAUGGGACCAGUUACAAUGCGGGAUCUUGUUGCUAAGUUUAUAGCAAGACUAAAAUCACAGGAGGACAAGUUGGCUUUUAAAGAUAUCCUGAUGCGAAUUACUAGAUUAAGACGUCGCCCCAAAUAUAUUGUAUUGAGAGAGAAAUGACAAUAGGCCACAUACUUGGGCUUAUCUGCCCUUAGGUUGCUGCUUUUUCAAUGGGUUGCAUAUGCUACCACAUAUUGGGGAGUGGCACCAACUCAGGUGUUGGCCAUGUUUUCUUCCAGGUAAAAUGCAGAACCUGGAGUCUGUAAAAUGGGUGUUCUUGUUUUUCCAAGGUCCUCCAGAAUGCGAGCUACACAGACUAUAAACCGUAUUCUUGUGUAUCAUUGGCUUGGGAUUCUCCAUUUUGUUAUCUUAUGUUUCUUUGGGUCUUUUCUGUCAUAUGCUUUAUAAUCGAGGGGUUACCGAGAACUCCAGAUUCCUUGUCUGUGGAAGGUAUGCUAUCUGCUUCAUACAGUCAGAAUAAUAACCUUCUUUGAGCAUUAUGUACUGAAAACUGGCCUGAAUAAUAUCAAGAUCGGUCAUUACCUCCCCCCUCCCCACCCCCCUUCUUGUUAACCCAUAAAUAACAGGUUCAUGUACUUGGUACUGAGGUGCUGGACAACUGCAACUCUGUUUAAUUAUUUAUGCAACUCAUAGUUUGGCAAAGAACAUGUCCAUGGUUCAACUUCAGAUAUUUCUUUAAGAAAUUUAUCUAAUCUUUUUAACUUAAAUAUCAAAGGAUACAUUGUUAUGCGAUUGACACCAGUGGUGAGCUGGUAAUUACUACUCUAGAUUGCAAUUUAAGUUCCUCUGAGUGGAUCAUCUUACUAAACACAUUUUUUUGA
This is an RNA transcript of Macadamia integrifolia, 1942 nucleotides long. It is a transcript of the gene named transcription initiation factor IIF subunit alpha-like, with no coding region annotated. The transcript is spliced from 7 exons. Lineage: Eukaryota; Viridiplantae; Streptophyta; Magnoliopsida; Proteales; Proteaceae. The record is from RefSeq and is a predicted model, not a curated record.